GUAUGAUUAUAUGGAUGGAAUGGAUUUGCACGGUUAAGAGAUGAAAGUGUAUGGAUUGGUGAGAUGUAGUAUGGCUAGAUGAAUGGAUGGAGGUCAUGGCAAGGAAAUUGUGUUUGUGAAUGAAGCUCUUUUGAUGGAUCAAGAUCUCCCUAGUUAUGGUGAAGGGUGGAUGUAUUUAUAGGCUAGGGAGAGGAGUGUAUGGAGUUGUGGUAAUGAGUGGAUGUAAUGGGUGUAGUGGGUGAGUG
This 245-nucleotide long non-coding RNA is filed under the name Malus domestica (apple). Its description in RNAcentral is "long non-coding RNA (MDOM_LNC021104)". Lineage: Eukaryota; Viridiplantae; Streptophyta; Magnoliopsida; Rosales; Rosaceae. The record is from RNAcentral.